This 87-nucleotide transfer RNA is filed under the name Halodesulfovibrio marinisediminis DSM 17456. RNAcentral's name for it is "tRNA_Leu_CAA". It matches the Rfam family "tRNA". From Rfam's summary of the family: Transfer RNA (tRNA) molecules are approximately 80 nucleotides in length. Their secondary structure includes four short double-helical elements and three loops (D, anti-codon, and T loops). Lineage: Bacteria; Pseudomonadati; Thermodesulfobacteriota; Desulfovibrionia; Desulfovibrionales; Desulfovibrionaceae. The record is from RNAcentral. RNAcentral also lists the same sequence under 1 other name.
GCCGGGAUGGCGGAAUUGGUAGACGCAGCGGAUUCAAAAUCCGCCGGGUGUACGCCCUUGAGAGUUCGAGUCUCUCUCUCGGUACCA